GCCCGUCGCUACUACCGAUUGAAUGGCUCAGUGAGGCCUUCGGACUGGCCCAGGGAGGUCGGCAACGACCACCCAGGGCCGGAAAGUUGGUCAAACUCGGUCAUUUAGAGGAAGUAAAAGUCGUAACAAGGUCUCCGUAGGUGAACCUGCGGAGGGAUCAUU
Molecule: ribosomal RNA, 162 nt
Filed under: Pseudocercospora eucalyptorum
Lineage: Eukaryota; Fungi; Ascomycota; Dothideomycetes; Mycosphaerellales; Mycosphaerellaceae
Description: partial 18S ribosomal RNA
Rfam family: Eukaryotic small subunit ribosomal RNA
Source: RNAcentral